GAUAAACGCUGGCGGCGUGCAUGAGACAUGCAAGUCGAACGAAGGAUCGGGCUUGCUCGAUCCUUAGUGGCGGACGGCUGAGUAACGCGUAGGUGACCUACCCCGAAGUGGGGAAUAACUGCCCGAAAGGGUGGCUAAUACCGCAUGUGGUCGCACGUUCAUUCGUGCGAGUAAAGCCGCAAGGCGCUUCGGGAGGGGCCUGCGUCCGAUUAGCUCGUUGGUGGGGUAAUGGCUUACCAAGGCGACGAUCGGUAGGUGGUCGGAGAGGACGAUCACCCAGACUGGGACUGAGACACGGCCCAGACUCCGACGGGAGGCAGGAGUCGGGAAUUUUGCUCAAUGGGGGAAACCCUGAAGCAGCAGCGCCGCGUGAGGGAUGAAGGCCUUCGGGUUGUAAACCUCUUUUGUCAGGGACGAUGAUGACGGUACCUGGCGAAUAAGCCACGGCUAACUACGUG
This 458-nucleotide ribosomal RNA is filed under the name uncultured bacterium. RNAcentral describes it as "partial 16S ribosomal RNA". It matches the Rfam family "Bacterial small subunit ribosomal RNA", at positions 28 to 507 of the family's 1533-position model. The record is from RNAcentral.